This 333-nucleotide unclassified non-coding RNA is filed under the name soil metagenome. Its description in RNAcentral is "partial contains 5.8S ribosomal RNA, internal transcribed spacer 2, and large subunit ribosomal RNA". The stretch from base 1 to 119 matches the Rfam family "5.8S ribosomal RNA", at positions 36 to 154 of the family's 154-position model. The record is from RNAcentral.
AUGAAGAACGUAGCGAAAUGCGAUAAGUAAUGUGAAUUGCAGAAUUCAGUGAAUCAUCGAAUCUUUGAACGCACAUUGCGCCCGCCAGUAUUCUGGCGAGCAUGCCUGUUCGAGCGUCAUUUCAACCAUCAAGCCCCAGGCUUGUGUUGGAGCCCUGCGGCUGCCGCAGCCUCCCAAAACCAGUGGCGGGCUCGCUAUCACACCGAGUGCAGUAGUUUACUCUUCGCUCAGGGCGUGUGGCGGGUGCUAGCCGUGAAACCCCCAACUUCUCAAGGUUGACCUCGGAUCAGGUAGGAAUACCCGCUGAACUUAAGCAUAUCAAUAAGCGGAGGA